This 274-nucleotide ribosomal RNA is filed under the name uncultured bacterium. Its description in RNAcentral is "partial 16S ribosomal RNA". It matches the Rfam family "Bacterial small subunit ribosomal RNA", at positions 523 to 796 of the family's 1533-position model. The record is from RNAcentral.
AUACGGAGGGUGCAAGCGUUACUCGGAAUCACUGGGCGUAAAGCGCGCGCAGGCGGUUUUUUAAGUUGGAUGUGAAAUCCUAUAGCUUAACUAUAGAACUGCAUCCAAAACUAUUAGACUAGAGUCUGGGAGAGGUAAGUGGAAUUAGUUGUGUAGGGGUAAAAUCCGUAGAGAUAACUAGGAAUACCAAAAGCGAAGGCAACUUACUGGAACAGUACUGACGCUGAGGCGCGAAAGCGUGGGGAGCAAACAGGAUUAGAAACCCCAGUAGUCC